Long non-coding RNA from Carassius gibelio (silver crucian carp), 1109 nucleotides. RefSeq lists it as uncharacterized. The transcript is spliced from 4 exons. The record is from RefSeq and is a predicted model, not a curated record. Lineage: Eukaryota; Metazoa; Chordata; Actinopteri; Cypriniformes; Cyprinidae.
GAGGAAAAAGACGGUUACUGUUAAUGUAAUGCACCUGAAAAGAAAGUGAACUCGAACACAUAUACAAGUAAUUAGUGGUGAUAGUUCUGUUUGUUUGAGUGAAAAACUCAUCCGUCACGACAGACAUAAGUUUAAGUUAGCCGCUGUCGCUGAUUUAGUGGUUAGUGUUUUGCAUAGACUUUGCUGAUAAGCUAGCGGCCAGCGACCUUAAUUGAAACCGGAGAUGAUCAAAGACUUUCCCGCAGCCGGAUAGCGUUGUCGAGUGAUGGACUUUGCUGAGAUCGUCAACCGUGUGAACCUUCUCUUGAUCCGUCUUCUCAUCAUCACGAAUCCUCUCCUCCUGUCUUUUGCUGCUGACGUCGUUGAUCAGAAGCACUGUCUGAGGACAGAACAAGCUCAACAGCUACAAUGUUUUAAAAGCAGUUUCCAGAAUCUGAGUCCAGCUCCUGGACCCCUGCCAACAUCGUCUGUGUCUUACGACCACACAAACAGAAGAAACUACUGUGACUCAAUACUGCCCCCUGUUGUCCAUAAGGCACUUCAUCCACCAGGGAGUGGAGGUUUAUUGGUUCAUCGAUGGCAGCGAGAUGCCUUUGGCGCUCGAGCAGGCCUCUGUUGGGCAGACUGACACCCCAACGGGCUGCAAUUACCCCACAGCAAAACCUAUUGUCUGUGUGUCACCCCCUGAUGAGCGCACACUGUGAAUAGAGAAUGCUGGCGGAUACACUAACAGAAUCAUUUUGCGUCCGUUUAAAAGGAGAACGGGAAAAAGAGAGAGUGAAAAAGUAUCAGUGGAGAAAUUAGUGUUGCUAAAACAGCGGUUCAGGAGACUUCAGUCACAUGGAAGAAAGCUGUGAUUAGUCCAAUCUGUCAUUAGUGUCUCACUGACGGAGACAUUAGCCUUGACAGAGGAGUAAAACGUAGCUCGGUGAGAUCUUUACGCCAAAACGUCACCCUUCAUCACUGAUUCAGAACUAGCGUAUGUAGCUCCAGAGCAAUGCAUUAAGGAAUGUCCUUAACAUUUUAAUUUCGUCAUUUACUCAAUCUCAUGUUGUUCGGAGUCGAUGCGACUUGCUUUCUUCCGUGAAACAACAACAAAAAAGGAGAUA